Small nuclear RNA from Fukomys damarensis (Damara mole-rat), 106 nucleotides. The record is from Ensembl. NCBI's taxonomy places the organism in Eukaryota, Metazoa, Chordata, Mammalia, Rodentia, Bathyergidae.
GUGGUCACCUCGGCAGCACAUAUACUAAAGUUGGAAUGAUACAGAGAAGAUUAAGCAUGGCCCCUGGACAAGGAUGACACAAAUUCAUGGAGUGUUCCAUAUUUUA